GCUUUCGAAGGCUUGACCUCAAAUCAGGUAGGACUACCCGCUGAACUUAAGCAUAUCAAUAA
This 62-nucleotide ribosomal RNA is filed under the name Pisolithus capsulifer. RNAcentral's name for it is "28S ribosomal RNA". Lineage: Eukaryota; Fungi; Basidiomycota; Agaricomycetes; Boletales; Pisolithaceae. The record is from RNAcentral.